This 468-nucleotide ribosomal RNA is filed under the name uncultured bacterium. RNAcentral describes it as "partial 16S ribosomal RNA". It matches the Rfam family "Bacterial small subunit ribosomal RNA", at positions 28 to 507 of the family's 1533-position model. The record is from RNAcentral.
GACGAACGCUGGCGGCGUGCUUAACACAUGCAAGUCGAACGGAAAGGCCCUGCUUUUGUGGGGUGCUCGAGUGGCGAACGGGUGAGUAACACGUGAGUAACCUGCCCUUGACUUUGGGAUAACUUCAGGAAACUGGGGCUAAUACCGGAUAGGAGCUCCUGCUGCAUGGUGGGGGUUGGAAAGUUUCGGCGGUUGGGGAUGGACUCGCGGCUUAUCAGCUUGUUGGUGGGGUAGUGGCUUACCAAGGCUGUGACGGGUAGCCGGCCUGAGAGGGUGACCGGCCACAAUGGGACUGAGAUACGGCCCAGACUCCUAUGUGAGGCAGCAGUGGGGAAUAUUGCACAAUGGGCGGGAGCCUGAUGCAGCAACGCCGCGUGCGGGAUGACGGCCUUCGGGUUGUAAACCGCUUUCGCCUGUGACGAAGCGUGAGUGACGGUAAUGGGUAAAGAAGCACCGGCUAACUACGUG